UUUUACUGCUAUUUAGAAAUGAGAGUUGGGUGUACAGACAGAGGUACGAACAGGGAUAAAUGUGAGAUUACAAAAAGUUCCGCUUUUGUUUUCUCAAUUUUAUUCCUACCUUUUAUGACAAGAGCUUUGCCAAUUGGGGGUUUAACGGUAAUUACAGACGUUCCUUUGUAAAUAUCGAAACCUUACCAUAAUUCUAACAGUAUUCUUCAUAAACGAGCCCAGUUUUCAAUUCUCUGCUUUGCCUGCAAUCGCUCUUUCACUAUUUUCAUCGGAAGUUGCUGAAUCUGAGAGGAUAAUUAUUUGUUACUUCGCUUAGCUUUCCGGUAUUCUUUUUCCCUCUUUCUUUUUUAAUUUUUUUUGGUGGAUUUCAUAGGUGAAUUUUUUAUUCCUGUCUUUAUUAGCCAUGUCUAUAUUAGGGGUUCUGUGUUUCUGGUUUGAUUUAAUCUAUGCAUGUUUGGAAAUUGAUACUUAGAUGCAUGAUUUUGAACAUUUGAUAAAUACAAAUCUAACAUUUUAAAUAAAACUUAACCUCAAAAAUUACUCCUAGAAGAACUCGACAAAAUUAUUCUCCUUUUCCACUUUUCGUCUCCUUUGGUUGAUUCUAAGUUCUAGCAACUGGUGGUUUUUUCGUUUUUUUGGGUUUCACCAUAUUCUGAGAUUUGGUAGUUUUGGUCUUUCACUGAUCUGUUUGAACAGUCUUAGCACUUUUCCGGAUUUUUUACAUUUUUUUUUUAAUUUUCUUUUUUGUUCUUUUCUGCUCUGUUCAUAGCCAAACAUAUAUGCAAAGGCUUUACAACAUUUUAAACAAGUAUUUCAGUAAUGAAUAUGGUUGAAGUUCUUGAUUGUCCCUUAGUCGACCCCUUCAUUUAAUGGGUAUUUUCCGAUUCAUCGAGAAGUUGAUAGAACAAUAAUGAAUAUAGAAAUUAUUGCAUAGCAGUCGUUCUAAUGGGUUCAUUGUCUUUGCUGCGAGUAUUGUUACUUUUGGAUGAAAAAGAACAUCAUGAAACCAGAUAAGAAAUUUGUCCAUAUAUAUUUUAUUGCCUUUUCCAACUAUUUGACCACAAACCAUUCAAACGCCGGUAAUUUAUAUUACUUGGAACAAUUCAUUAGUUAGGUUUGUAAUUUAUUAUUUUUGCAUAUUUGUAUGAAUGGAUAUUUAGGUGUGGUAGGCUCAUAUACAAAGUGUUUGAUUUCUGGUUUCUGUUUGUCCUUCUACUUUAUAUAACUCACUAAUAUCUAUUCUUGCACUUGGUGUGUACCUGCUUUUUUCAGCAUCUCAAAAUCUCACUAUCUUGUGGUUUUUGGAAUUCAAAAGAUUGGCUACUAAGGUUGGUACUAGAGCUCCAGUUCAGUGGCUCUGCCAGAAUUGAGGCUUAUGCAGGGGUACAUGGGACACCGCUUCGUCAAACAGAAAAACACGAUAAUACCAUUAAAAGAGAUACCACUUGCAAUAAAACAUCUUAGUAGUCUGGUGGUGGUUAGCUUCAAGUAUUAUGUGAGGUAAACUCCCUUGGCUCCAUAAUUUUUUUUUGACUGUUACAGCCCUACACCACUUAAUGAAAAAUUCUGCGUAGUUGUGUUGUGCUGAAGAUACAAACAAUUUAUGUAUUUUUUCGGUAUUAUGUCUGUAAUGUUUAUGUCAAUGGUUUCACUAGACAGUGUACUUAUGCCUUCACUUGCGGUAUAUACAAAGUAUGAAAUAGCAAAUAUUGUUGUGCUCUUGUGCAAAAUUACUUUAGAUGCUUAAUUAUUGGAAGAAAGAUGACUCUGGCAAGUACUGAAUCAUCGCCAGUGCAUCUUUGAAGCCUAACACCCAAAUUUUAUAAAUAACUUCAUGUAUUAUGCGAACAAAAAUCCAUUUCCUUUUCCUUUAAUUAACUGUAGAAGCUUACUGCCAAAUUUUAUAAAUAACUUCAUAUAUUAUGCGAACAAAAAUCCAUUUCCUUUUCCUUUAAUUAACUGUAGAAGCUUACUGUUGGGCUUGGGCCGGUGGUUAGCACCGGCAUUCCCUGCUAGUAUAUUUAUAGCACACAGUUCCAUUAAAAUGGGAUUAGUUCUCCCUUUUUUUCUCUCUUCAAAUUUCCCUCUUUACAUAUUUCCCCCUUCUAAAUUUGUUCCAUUCGUAUUUUUUCUUCUUAAUUGACUUUCUAAAGUUUUUCUUUGCCCUCUUUCUUCCUUUUCAAAAAUUUAUAGCUCUUUAUUUUGAUAUUAAUUUACAUUAAUAUAUGCAAAAGGUAUACAUAGAACAUACACCUUGAAUUAAGAUAUACCAAAGGUAUACAUAAAAAAUAUAUCUUAAUUAAGAUUGCAUCUAACAUAUAAAAUAUAGAUAACAAUACAUCUUACAUAAGAGAUGACUUAUAUGUAUACAUAAAAAUACAUCCUGAAUUAAGAUUGCACUUGACAUAUAUAAUAUACAAAAAUAUACUCUAAAAAUACAUCUUAAAUUAAGAUGACACUAAAAAUUAAAAUACACAAAAUAUAUACAUAAAAAGUACAUCUUGAAUUGAAGUGGCACUUGAUAUUGUUGGUAUAUUUAGGAAAUAAUUCUCGUAUAUUUCAUACUUGAUUAGCAAUAUAUAGUUAUAUAAAUGACAAUAUGAUGGUACAAUAUAUAUGUGCAUCUGUGUAUAUUUUUUAGAAAAUAUUUCUGGUAUAUAAUAUAAAAUGUAUUAUUUGGAAAAAAAUGUUUUUGAGUAUAGAACUGAUUUAUUUAUGUUAAUAAAUAUGAAUAUUUUGAGAAUGAUAUAUUAAAGUCUCUCAUUCCUAAAUUUAAGGGUCAUUGAUUAUUUUUUAAAAAGUUGCUUGUGCGUAAACAAACAUGAAGUAUGCUAUAAUUGUUAAUAAAUUUGUUGUUUUUGGUUUAAACUAAAAUGAAUGCCAUUUAUUUAAAUAAUUCUUGAAUAAUGACCAACAGUGUAAAAAUUGUUGUUGUUGUUGUUGUUGUGUGUAGUUGAUGUUAUAUUCUUACUAGGGGUAUGUGUAUACAUAGGAGCAGAGAGGUUUACUAAGUAGGAAUGUCAUACUCUGGCCAUUUCUGUAACUAUUUUAAGUUAGGAUGAUGUUUGAGUCCAAUUUUUAAUUCCACAUUAAACUUACAAUGGUUAUUCUUGCAAACAUUCCUCAAACAGGGACAAAAGUUAACAUCAGCGCGAUAAAGUGUCAUGUUUUCGCAAAUCUCCACAUCCACAUUUUUUAGGAGUUAUUAAGUCUGUCACAUUUUUUAAAACAUAUUCUAUCUUUUAGUGUCCAUUAAUUUCUUCUUCUCUUUUUCUCUCAUUGAUGUCCAUGGGCGAAGUUAGAGAAGCGGAAGGAAGUUCAUCUGGAAUGUUGACAAUUUGAGCACUUUUUUACCUACAAUUUAGGAGGUUAAUAUAUAAAGUGCCGACAAAUAGAAAUGAAGGUACAAAGCAUGGGCGUAUUUAUAGUCCAAUAUAUGGACGCUUCGCCAAAUUAAGUAUUUUUUAUGUAUAUAUUUUAAGAAUUGAACUAAUAUUAUCUACUAGCACUCCUGCUCUAAAGAGGCUAAAUAAUACACUUGACUUGAUUGAAUAUUGUAUUAUUUACCUAGAGAAAUAGAGAGCAAUUCCCAUUUAAUAUUUUAUUUGUCCUUUUUUUAAUGAUGCACCUAUAAAUACCCUUUAUUUUGGCUUU
This 3654-nucleotide long non-coding RNA is filed under the name Nicotiana benthamiana. RNAcentral's name for it is "long non-coding RNA (NBEN_LNC020395)". The record is from RNAcentral. Lineage: Eukaryota; Viridiplantae; Streptophyta; Magnoliopsida; Solanales; Solanaceae.